Molecule: non-coding RNA, 130 nt
Organism: Triticum aestivum (bread wheat)
Lineage: Eukaryota; Viridiplantae; Streptophyta; Magnoliopsida; Poales; Poaceae
Source: Rfam
UGUAUACUCCCUCCGUCCCAAAUUACUUGUCUUAGAAUUGUCUAGAUAUGGAUGUAUCUAGACACGUGUCUAGAUACAUCCAUAUCUAGACAAUUCUAAGACAAGUAAUUUGGGACGGACGUAAUGUUUG